Molecule: ribosomal RNA, 451 nt
Filed under: Methylobacterium mesophilicum
Lineage: Bacteria; Pseudomonadati; Pseudomonadota; Alphaproteobacteria; Hyphomicrobiales; Methylobacteriaceae
Description: bacterial SSU rRNA
Rfam family: Bacterial small subunit ribosomal RNA
Source: RNAcentral
AGCGAACGCUGGCGGCAGGCUUAACACAUGCAAGUCGAGCGGGCCCUUCGGGGUCAGCGGCGGACGGGUGAGUAACGCGUGGGAACGUGCCCUCUGGUUCGGAAUAACUCAGGGAAACUUGAGCUAAUACCGGAUACGCCCUUUUGGGGAAAGGCUUGCUGCCGGAGGAUCGGCCCGCGUCUGAUUAGCUAGUUGGUGAGGUAACGGCUCACCAAGGCGACGAUCAGUAGCUGGUCUGAGAGGAUGAUCAGCCACACUGGGACUGAGACACGGCCCAGACUCCUACGGGAGGCAGCAGUGGGGAAUAUUGGACAAUGGGCGCAAGCCUGAUCCAGCCAUGCCGCGUGAGUGAUGAAGGCCUUAGGGUUGUAAAGCUCUUUUAUCCGGGACGAUAAUGACGGUACCGGAGGAAUAAGCCCCGGCUAACUUCGUGCCAGCAGCCGCGGUAAUA